This 247-nucleotide long non-coding RNA is filed under the name Elaeis guineensis (African oil palm). RNAcentral's name for it is "long non-coding RNA (EGUI_LNC050330)". The record is from RNAcentral. Lineage: Eukaryota; Viridiplantae; Streptophyta; Magnoliopsida; Arecales; Arecaceae.
AGGCUCUAUCCUCUUAAUCACCUGACAAGGAUAAAAAAAGUUUAGUUAUGCAUCAAUUGAGAUAUAUAUGAUGAUAGAUGCGAAAAGGUUUAGACGUAUCUUGGUCCUCCUAGGUAGUCUCAUUGUAUAAAAUAUUUGGGUAUUAAGAAAAGAACUCAUGAUAAAUAAUAAGAUAUAGAAAAUAUAUUCUAUUGACUUAUGUAGAGUGAUCUUUAUUGACAUAGAAAUCAAUUAAUACUUCAAGAUA